CAACCCCCGCCCACCCUUCAAAGCGCGUGGUGCCAACGCACGAGGAUCCCCCCCCCCCCCCCAAGUGCAAAUGGGAUCAAAUGGGAUCAUGGGGGGUGGGUGGGAUUCAGGUCCUGGUGUUGCACGAGGGGCUGGUGUUGCACGAGGAGGAGCUGAUGUUGCACGAGGACUUGAUGGUGUUGCACGAGGGGCUGUCCCCAGCUCAUGGAGAUGAUGGUGGUGGUGUUGCACGAGGAGUUGUUGCACGAGCAUCGCUCUCAUCCCAUUGCACGAGCAGCUGUUGCACGAGGCCUCACGCGAGUCCUGUUGUGCACGAGGAGCUGGUGUUGCACGAGGACUUGAUGGUGUUGCACGAGGUCUUACCCAGUCCAGUUGUGCACGAGGAGCUGUUGCACGAGGGUGUGAUGCACGAGGAGGUGACCCCAUUUUGCACCAGGGCCCGUUGCACGAGGGGUUGAUGCACGAGGAGCUGAUGUGGAUGCUGGGAGUCCUGUUGCACGAGGGUCCUUUGCACGAGGGGCUGUUGCACGACCCCCCCCCAGUCCUUGUGCACAUGGAGGUGAUGCAUGAGGUGGUGAUGCACUUUUGCACGAGGAAUCCUUUGCACUAAUAAACCCUUUGCACGAGGGUUCUUUGCACAAUGAAUCCUUUGCACGAGGACUUGCCUUUGCAUGAGGACGUGCCUUUUGCACGAGGGUUCUUUGCACGACGAAUCCUUUGCACGAGGACUUGCUUUUGCACGAGGACUUGUGCCUUUUGCACGAAGGUUCUUUGCACGAGGAUCUUUGCACGUGGAUGCUUUGCAUGACGGUGGGUUGCACGUGGAUGUGUUGCACAAGUCCCCCCCCCAUUCCAAGUCCUGGUGCUUGAGAAUCCCUUGCACGACGAUCCCUUGCACAAGUAUCUCUUGCACACUCAUCCCUUGCACGAGGAUCUCUUGGUCCCCCCUCCCCCCCAAGUCCUGGUGCUUGAGAAACCCUUGCACGAUGAUCCCUUGCACGACGAUCCCUCGCACGAUGAUCUCUUGCACACUCAUCCCUUGCACGAGGAUCCCUUGCACGACGAUCUCUUGCACACUCAUCCCUUGCAUGAGGAUCUGCUGCUCCCCCCCAAGUCCUGGUGCUUGAGAAUCCCUUGCACAAGGAUCCAUUGCACAAGGAUCCAUUGCACGAGGAUCUGUUCCCUUUCCCCCCCCCCCCAAUCCUGUUGCAACAAGAGCCCCCCCCAAUAUCCUGCACGCUGCUUUAUCCAUUGGCACAACCCCCCCCCCCCAACCCCCCUUCCUCCAUUGCACGAGUGGAGGGGGGGGGGUCUGAAAUUAGGCGGGGGGGUCUUGAAUAUGGGGGGGGUCUUGAAGUAGGGGGGGGGGUCUUGAACUGGGGGGGUGUCUGGAAUAUGGGGGGGGGCCUUGAAUUGGGGGGGGGGCCUUGAAUUGUGGGGGGCGUGUCUUGAAUUGGGGGGGUCUUGAAUUAUGGGGGGGGUCUUGAAUUGGGUGGGGUUCUUGAACUGGGGGGGGGGUCUUGAGGGGGGGGGUCUUGAAUAUGGGGGGGGGGUGUCCUUGAAUGGGAGCGGGAUCUUUAAAUGGGGGGGAUCUUAAAUGGGGAGCGGUCUUGAGUGGGAUGGGGGUCAAAGUAUGGGGGUAAAAAGGGGGGGGG
Molecule: long non-coding RNA, 1655 nt
Filed under: Coturnix japonica (Japanese quail)
Lineage: Eukaryota; Metazoa; Chordata; Aves; Galliformes; Phasianidae
Description: lncRNA (ENSCJPG00005001635.1)
Source: RNAcentral